UAGUGUCUGGCCUGCGAUUGGUAGUUAGCCCAUGUUUGUUGAAUACACAGCCUUGCCUGUGACCUUGGUGGCCUGUCACAUCUCUCUCUGAGGAAGUGACUAACACCCAACCACCCUUAUAACGGACUGAAGUUCCCACGGGCAGACAGCAGCUGAUCGGGGCAGGGGCAGCCAGGGGCCCCGGAGGACCAAAGACUCAGCUCCAUGAAGCCAUGCCGCGGACCUGUCCCCUCUUCCGCCUCACCAUCUUCUGCACAGGGGUCUCUUUGGGUAUAAUUUUGGAACCAGAGACCCAAACUCUGACUGCUCUCCUUGGAGGGCCUGCCACCUUCCGGUGCAACGUAAGUGGAGGGGACCUGGUAAGCUAUCAGAUGAGCUGGUAUAAGAAGAAUGAAGAUCAGUCCCUGACUUUAGUAUACAGACAAGGCAAUCAUGCUACUGAAGGGGCGAGGAGUAAGUUCAAAGGGAAAAUUGAUGCUUUAAAAAGUCAGUAUAUACUCGACAUUCAAAACGCAACAGCGGAAGACGUUGGGACUUACUACUGUGGGUCGGACAUCCACGGUGCUCCAGCUCUGCUUCUGGUCGCCUCAAAACCCCCGGCGGCCAACCCAAGCGGCACAUCCAAUGAGAGACCAUCUCGGGCUACAUUGACCACCAAACUGAGGUGAGAUCACUCGAUAAACUCGAAAAUGACAUCUGAUAGGAGAGACAGGGGCGGAGUUGGGGCCUUAUCUUUGUAGUUGGCUGAGAGAGGCUUUAUCAGCCAAAGAGGGCAGAAAAGGCGGUUAGGUUUUGUGCAGGGAGACCAGGGGACCCUGCUCCUGUCUGUCACAGACUUCUGAGAAAAGACUGGGGGGUGGGGUGGGAAACAGUCUUCAUUACUGAGAAGAUUCUCUGGCUGUGAAGAGUCUGGGAAGAACAGAGUUUCUACUACCGGGAGUGCUGUAGCUCAUUCCAGAGCCUGUCUGGGAGAGGAUCCCCUUCCACGCUCGCUCACGUGGAUGUGGGCAGACCUUGAGCCCUCACGGAGGCAUCUCCAGAGGGUUCAUCACAGCACAGCAGCUUACUUUUCUGCGGCAGGGACUCUGAGAGAGAAGGCACGGUCUUUUGGUAACCUCAUCUGAGCAGUGACAUCCCAUCGCUUCUGCCAUGUUCUCUUCAGUAGAAAUGAGUCCAUAAAUGCAGCCCACACUCAAGGGGAGGAGAUUACAUGAGAGCAUGAUGACCAGGAGGUAGGGACCAUUGGGGGUCAUCUUAGAAGCUGCUGGCUACAGGGGGUUAAUGCAGUGGAGCAGAGAGAGAGAGGGCUCAGAAACUCUGGUUGAGAUCAGCUCGUUCAGAGACUCCUGACAACAAGGCUAAAGAGAUUUGAUUUUCUCUUACAAGCCAGUUUUUCCCAAACUUUAUUGUGCAGGCAAAGCACCUGGAGAGAUUGUUUCCAAUCAGAUUCUUGAGCCCAGCCUAUAAAGAGUCUAAUUCAGUCUACCUGGGGGCAGGCCCAAGAACAUGUAUUUUUAACAAGCACCCCAGGAGAUUAUGAUACAAGUGGUCCAAGGACAUGUUUGAGAAAUUCUGCUAUAAGCAGAAGAAGAACUGUUUGUUUUUUAGUACAAGGAAGAUGUGUCCCAGUUCUCCUGCCCAACUACAGAGAAAUGAACAUUAGAUGUGAUCAAGGAACCUCUUGAAUGAUGGUUCUUAAUUCCAACUGCAUAUUUGAAUCACGUGGGGAAACUCUUUGACAAUAUUAGUGUCUGGAAUAUAUCCCUAGAGAUUUUGAUUGAACUGGUGUGGCCGUAGAGCUCUAGCUUCUCAGAUAUUCAGCCUCCCUCCCCUGCACUCUCCUUUUCCCCUCUCAAGUCUAAGAACUUAGUGUUCUAAAUGUCGUCUCUGGACCAACAUCAUAAGCAUCACCUGGAAGUUUGUCAGAAUGCAGAAUCUCAUGUACCAGCCUAGAUCAACUGAGUCAGAAUCUGCAUUUUAUUAAGAUUCCCUAGGUGAGUUAUAUGCAUAUUAAAGUUUGAGAACCACUGGUCUAGGGAACCCAUCGUUACUGAAAAAUUUCAUAGAGGGGGAGAAACAUAAAUCAGUUUUUCACAAAUGUCACCCAAGAAUCUAUAUUUGUAAAAAGCUCCUGAAGGGACUCUGAUGUGCAGCCAGGUGUGAGACACACAAUAAGCAAUCAGUCAUCCCCAAAUCAGGUUACAGAUUAUUUGUGUUACUAACAUAUAAUAAAUAUUCUCAUUGAGGCGUUACUGUGUCCUUGCACGCUCUUUGGAAGGAGUCAUGACAUAAAUUCUAGGUAUGACCAUUUCUCAUUCAUCCACAAGCAGAUAAGGAAAUGAAUUAAUAUUUAUUGAGUCAACGUGCUCUUUAUCACACUUGUGUCCUUCCUGGAUUAUCCACUGCAACCCAGGACCUUGUGCUACACACCUUCAUCCCAAGAUCAAACCAGAAAAAAAGAACCUGAAUCAUUACUGUCUGAUUAAGUCUGAUCGAGAAGAAAAGGGACAGGAGAUGAGAGCUUGUGUCUCCUGCAUGAUGGAUGAGAGCAUGAAGUUCUGGCCCAUGUUGGGGGGAGGCAACUCAGAAUCUGAGACAGGCAUGGGGUAAGCAUGAAAAACAGAGCCUGGGGCCAAAGAAGAGGGACAUUUAGGGGGAAGGCAACCGAAUGUCCAAUAACUACCAAGUAACAAUCUGAGAGAAUCUGGGCACAAAACUAUGGAAAAAGGAACUAGACAAGAAUUAAAAUUAAAGAUUUGGAGAAAUUCCCAGAGCUUACCAGGAGGUAGAUGAGAAAGUCGUUUACAUAAUACCUGAAGCCUCAGACUUGGGUGGAGAUAGGACCACUAAGGCUCUAGCAUAGUGUAGACAUAGGCCAAGUGUUUCUGCAGAAAUCCCAGAGCCAAGUGAAUGACAUGAAUGUCAGCAAAUAAUUUAUAUUGUCCUGGUUCUUCUCCACUGCAUUGGUAAAGGCAACUGAGGGUUGAUUGAGUUCAUAUUAUUCUUAUGCCCAUUAUCCUGCUUUCUGUGAGUUUUAUCCAUCAUGGAAAGGGUUCACUUGACAGAGUUCAGAGCAUUGAAGAGAAAUUCCAGAGAGUGUCUGCCCAUCCUCUGAAAGAGUCUUUGAGGUCAACUUUCAGGGCAUGGUAACAGGCAUGCCACUUCCACCAGGCUCCCAAGCUAAGGAGUCACUAGGCAUCCUAGGUGGCUAGAAAUGGGAGAUACGACUGUUCAACAGGAGCAAGAAGGUACUUUGUGUCCGAGAACAGUGCUAUCAACCAGCUGCACUUACAAACAAGUCAUUCAACAUCAUGGAACCCUGGUACGGCGUGAGAGGCAAGAGAAAAGAAGGGAAUCAGAGUACACUUCUUCUGCAUCACCAAGGGAGAAAAUGUCGUUUCUAUCAUAAGGUGUCACAGCCUUGAAGGAAUUGCUCAUUACAGCAUCCUGAAAGUGCCCAGGGAGGAUACAGGAAAGGUCCAAGUAAGGAAAUGGACUCAAGGAAAUUCAAGUUGUGACCUUCAUUCUGAACAAUUAAGAGUUUAAACAGAAAAUUAGAAUCAUUGAAUUUGAAAGCCAGAAGGGAUCUUAA
This is a non-coding RNA of Vicugna pacos (alpaca), 3592 nucleotides long. Lineage: Eukaryota; Metazoa; Chordata; Mammalia; Artiodactyla; Camelidae. The record is from the annotation of a RefSeq genome assembly.